RNAcentral lists this non-coding RNA (80 nucleotides) under Lysobacter sp. Its description in RNAcentral is "SAH sequence". It matches the Rfam family "SAH (S-adenosyl-L-homocysteine) riboswitch aptamer". The record is from RNAcentral. Lineage: Bacteria; Pseudomonadati; Pseudomonadota; Gammaproteobacteria; Lysobacterales; Lysobacteraceae. RNAcentral also lists the same sequence under 1 other name.
UUCGCCGAGGGGCGCUGCGACCGCGACGCAAGAGCGCGGCCAGGCUUGGCGGAUUCCAAACGUAACGGCGCCCGAUGUCC